UACAGAGGUGACAAACGUUGUCCGGAAUUAUUGGGCGUAAAGGGCGCGUAGGUGGUUGAGUAAGUCAGGUGUGAAAGCUCUGGGCUUAACCCAGGAAUUGCAUCUGAUACUGCUCGGCUUGAGUACGGUAGAGGAGGGUGGAAUUCCCAGUGUAGCGGUGAAAUGCGUAGAUAUUGGAAGGAACACCGGUGGCGAAAGCGGCCCUCUGGACCGAAACUGACACUGAAGCGCGAAAGCUAGGGGAGCAAACGGG
This 253-nucleotide ribosomal RNA is filed under the name uncultured bacterium. RNAcentral describes it as "partial 16S ribosomal RNA". It matches the Rfam family "Bacterial small subunit ribosomal RNA", at positions 524 to 776 of the family's 1533-position model. The record is from RNAcentral.